UCAAUUAUUAACUGAAAAUUC
This 21-nucleotide non-coding RNA is filed under the name Caenorhabditis elegans. The record is from RNAcentral. Lineage: Eukaryota; Metazoa; Nematoda; Chromadorea; Rhabditida; Rhabditidae.